GGCUCAUGGCUCAGAUGGUUAAAGUGCCUGUCUAGUAAUCAGGAGAUCCUGGGUUUGAGUCCCAGCGGUGCCU
Molecule: non-coding RNA, 73 nt
Organism: Megalops atlanticus (tarpon)
Lineage: Eukaryota; Metazoa; Chordata; Actinopteri; Elopiformes; Megalopidae
Source: the annotation of a GenBank genome assembly